CAGUAGCCGCGGUAAUACAGAGGGUGCAAGCGUUAAUCGGAAUUACUGGGCGUAAAGCGCGCGUAGGUGGUUCGCCAAGUUGGAUGUGAAAUCCCCGGGCUCAACCUGGGAACUGCAUCCAAAACUGGCGAGCUAGAGUGUGUCAGAGGAUGGUGGAAUUCCCGGUGUAGCGGUGAAAUGCGUAGAGAUCGGAAGGAACAUCUGUGGCGAAGGCGACUAUCUGGGCCAACACUGACACUGAGGCACGAAAGCGUGGGGAGCAAACAGGAUUAGAUACCCCGGUAGUCCCUGUCUCUUAUAC
This 301-nucleotide ribosomal RNA is filed under the name uncultured bacterium. RNAcentral describes it as "partial 16S ribosomal RNA". It matches the Rfam family "Bacterial small subunit ribosomal RNA", at positions 509 to 807 of the family's 1533-position model. The record is from RNAcentral.